GUCGAGCGAACGGACGAGAAGCUUGCUUCUCUGAUGUUAGCGGCGGACGGGUGAGUAACACGUGGAUAACCUACCUAUAAGACUGGGAUAACUUCGGGAAACCGGAGCUAAUACCGGAUAAUAUUUUGAACCGCAUGGUUCAAAAGUGAAAGACGGUCUUGCUGUCACUUAUAGAUGGAUCCGCGCUGCAUUAGCUAGUUGGUAAGGUAACGGCUUACCAAGGCAACGAUGCAUAGCCGACCUGAGAGGGUGAUCGGCCACACUGGAACUGAGACACGGUCCAGACUCCUACGGGAGGCAGCAGUAGGGAAUCUUCCGCAAUGGGCGAAAGCCUGACGGAGCAACGCCGCGUGAGUGAUGAAGGUCUUCGGAUCGUAAAACUCUGUUAUUAGGGAAGAACAUAUGUGUAAGUAACUGUGCACAUCUUGACGGUACCUAAUCAGAAAGCCACGGCUAACUACGUGCCAGCAGCCGCGGUAAUACGUAGGUGGCAAGCGUUAUCCGGAAUUAUUGGGCGUAAAGCGCGCGUAGGCGGUUUUUUAAGUCUGAUGUGAAAGCCCACGGCUCAACCGUGGAGGGUCAUUGGAAACUGGAAAACUUGAGUGCAGAAGAGGAAAGUGGAAUUCCAUGUGUAGCGGUGAAAUGCGCAGAGAUAUGGAGGAACACCAGUGGCGAAGGCGACUUUCUGGUCUGUAACUGACGCUGAUGUGCGAAAGCGUGGGGAUCAAACAGGAUUAGAUACCCUGGUAGUCCACGCCGUAAACGAUGAGUGCUAAGUGUUAGGGGGUUUCCGCCCCUUAGUGCUGCAGCUAACGCAUUAAGCACUCCGCCUGGGGAGUACGACCGCAAGGUUGAAACUCAAAGGAAUUGACGGGGACCCGCACAAGCGGUGGAGCAUGUGGUUUAAUUCGAAGCAACGCGAAGAACCUUACCAAAUCUUGACAUCCUUUGACAACUCUAGAGAUAGAGCCUUCCCCUUCGGGGGACAAAGUGACAGGUGGUGCAUGGUUGUCGUCAGCUCGUGUCGUGAGAUGUUGGGUUAAGUCCCGCAACGAGCGCAACCCUUAAGCUUAGUUGCCAUCAUUAAGUUGGGCACUCUAAGUUGACUGCCGGUGACAAACCGGAGGAAGGUGGGGAUGACGUCAAAUCAUCAUGCCCCUUAUGAUUUGGGCUACACACGUGCUACAAUGGACAAUACAAAGGGCAGCGAAACCGCGAGGUCAAGCAAAUCCCAUAAAGUUGUUCUCAGUUCGGAUUGUAGUCUGCAACUCGACUACAUGAAGCUGGAAUCGCUAGUAAUCGUAGAUCAGCAUGCUACGGUGAAUACGUUCCCGGGUCUUGUACACACCGCCCGUCACACCACGAGAGUUUGUAACACCCGAAGCCGGUGGAGUAACCUUUUAGGAGCUAGCCGUCGAAGGUG
This 1423-nucleotide ribosomal RNA is filed under the name Staphylococcus aureus. RNAcentral describes it as "bacterial SSU rRNA". It matches the Rfam family "Bacterial small subunit ribosomal RNA". The record is from RNAcentral. Lineage: Bacteria; Bacillati; Bacillota; Bacilli; Caryophanales; Staphylococcaceae.